CCCUAUGUAUGUCAUUGCGGAUUAGCAGCUGGGGCCAGGCCAGGCCAGCGCAGCAGCGCCGGGGAAUCCGCUGUGCACGGCCGCGCGCAGAGGCCGGGAGGCCAAAAAUUAAGGAGGAGGGCACGGGUCUUGGGUUAUUUUCCUCGGCUAAUGAGCCUCCCACCCCCUCUCUAGCCUGGGCGGGGAGAAGGCGAAGAACCGUCCCCCGGGCCUCUGCGGGCGCGAGGACUUCCUGGAGCGAAGCCGGCCGCCCGGGGAGCCUGCACCUGCUGGGAGGAGCGGCGGGCACCAUGAAGGAUCGGCUGGAGCAGCUCAAAGCCAAGCAGGACCAGGAUGACGAUGCCGACGAUGUGGAGAUCGCUAUCGAGAACGCGGGGUUCAUGGAUGAGUUCUUCUCCGAGAUUGAAGAAACCCGACAAAAUAUUGAGAAAAUUGCAGAGAAUGUGGAGGGGGCGAAAAAGCUGUACAGUAUCAUCCUGUCCGCCCCCAUCCCUGAGCAAAAGACGAAAGACGACCUGGAGCAGCUCACGGCAGAGAUCAAGAAAAUAGCCAACAGCAUCCGAAACAAGCUUAAGAGCAUGGAGCGGAGCAUUGAGCAGGAUGAGGUCCAGUCGUCGGCGGAUCUGCGGAUACGGAAAUCCCAGCAUUCUGUCCUCUCCCGGAAGUUUGUUGAUGUGAUGACCAAGUACAACGAGGCACAGGUCGACUUCCGGGAACGUAGCAAAGGGCGGAUCCAGCGGCAGCUCGAGAUCACUGGGAAGAAUACGACGGAUGAGGAGCUGGAGGAGAUGCUAGAGAGUGGAAACCCCUCAAUAUUCACAUCUGGGAUCAUGGAUUCACAGAUCUCAAAGCAGGCGCUGAGCGAGAUCGAGGGGCGGCACAAGGACAUUGUGCGGCUUGAGAGCAGCAUCAAGGAGCUUCACGACAUGUUCGUGGACAUCGCCAUGCUGGUGGAAAAUCAGGGAGCCAUGAUCGACCGCAUAGAGACCAACAUGGACCAGUCGGUGGGCUUUGUGGAACGGGCCGUGGCUGACACCAAAAAGGCUGUGAAAUACCAGAGCGAGGCCAGAAGGGUGGUGGGUAUGGAGCAUGCUGCCCGGGCAAGGUUGCCAUUGCAGCUCCGAGAUGCCCCUGAAACUCCCCAGAGCUCUGUGGACAGGGGAAAUGUCAUUGUCUCACCAAGUGAGGGUAUUGGCAUGCACGCGUGUGUGUUUUUAAACUUUGAUUUUUUUUUAAUUUAAAAAAGUAAAUAAAUGAAUUUAUUUCUGAUCACAAACAGCUCUCGCCUGUGUUGUGUUGUUCCCUGCAUGAGCUGUCAUUGCCUGAAUACAACAUCCAGCUAUGGCUACCCUAGCUCAUCUUGAUUGGUUCAAGGCUGGGAGGCAGGGGUGCUGUCUCCUUGGCCUGCAUCCCUCAUGGUAGAGAAAGACCGGACUUGGCUGAAAUGAAUGGUAGUAAUAACUUGUAACUAGCUCUGAUCCUCCGUAGGUCUCAAAGUGAGGUCGGUAUCACAACCCACAUUUUACAGAUGGGGAAAUUGAGGCACGGACAGGGGAAGUGACUUGCCCAAGGUCACCCAGUGGCUGAGCCUGGAAUAGAGCCUAGGGCUCCUGAGUCCCAGUCCAGUGCUCUAGCCACUAGGCCACCCUCCUCCCAGUGUAAAGGAGACUUUAUUAGCAGGGCUGCCAGACACGAACUGAUGCUGUGGUUCUCUCUGGCUCACCAGCUCCCAGCCUGAGUAAUGCAGCCUGUGCUGCCCAAUGCACUGCACAGGGGCCAAGUCCCGGCCUUGAAGAGACUGCUCCAUGCAAACAUUGGGAUACACCGGUUCAGAAUGCUCCUGGCUGGAAUCUGUCUCUCUGCUCGUCCUUAGCCCUGCCCCAAUUAUCCAACCCACAACAAGAGUCAAGGCUGAGUAAAGCAACCGAUGGGGAAAGGCAGUAGAUACAGUGAUAGCACCAUGUAGAAUUAAAUAGCCCCACGACAGUAGCACUCCCUUGGGGAUGAGACUGGGACUUUGAGCCUCCGGUGCUGGGCUGAGAACUGUUUUCACUUGACUCACUGACAUUUAAAGAGACAGCUCCUCUUUCAGAAUAGCAGCAGUGACCAGGUUUGGCUGCAAAGGAAGGAGCUUUGUUUAUAAUCGCCAUGCCACCUGGCUCUGCUGAUGAACCUUGGGGAGGUGAAAGGGUGAGAGAACCCCACCCACCCAGGCUGGCCUGUUGUUUCAAGUCUUCAGACGGGCCUCUCCUCUCCACUUCACCCACCUGGAUCAGAAAACUUGGCUGGGGUUUCUCCUCCGCUGCUGUGCCGUAUCCAGUGCCUCUGGUAAGAUGAGAUAAUGGGUGUUGUAUUUUUCCUUGGGGGCAUGACAUUCUGCAUGGCUGUAUGCGUGGGGCAGGCUAGCUCUUAUUUAUCUAGCUAUUCACGUGGCCCCCAUAAUGAUAGCGUCUGAACACGUGGCUGGGGCUUGCUUCUUCUGCAUGGCACGUGAGUUGAGGGGAAGGGAAAUGAGCUCAUUAAGCGAUCAUUUCCCAUCAAGGCCACCAGCACCAAGGAUAAAACAUUUUUCUGUCCUCUGUGAAAGAAAAGCCCUACUCCCUCCCUCCACAUCUCCGUCCUACUACCCAUGGAUCCAUUUCCUCUUUUCCAGCCCAAAGCAAUGGACCCCCCUUCCUCUGCUCUUUGUGACACAUGGAGGAUGGGUGACCCUUCCCUCUCCUCUUCCCUCACUUCCAUUUAUAGUUCACUGUAAGCCCCCUGCACAAGCUGUUUGUUUACAUUUCUCUCUCUCGCCGAGCAGAAGAAGAUCAUGAUCAUGAUCUGUUGUAUCAUCCUGGCCAUCAUCCUGGCUUCCACCAUUGGGGGCAUCUUCGCCUGAGUGCCCACCUCCUGCCCCCCGCCCACCCCAGAUGGAUUUGCAGAUGGCCUUUCACCGUUCUUCCACUCCGCACCCUGGUGCCACCCGUCAAAUGUUCUUUCCCAUCUGGAUUUCUCACCAGCUCUACCUCCUCCUCUUUAUGGAGACAUCACAGGCCUGGCCAGUGGACCCUACCUGUCAGAUGUUCACCGUUCAGUGUUCCUGGUUGGAGGGGCUGAGGAAGCCGGAAUAGAACAGGGAGGAUGGGCUGCAGACAGAACCAAAUAAGACACCAUGGGGAUGAUGCUAGCUGACACUAAUGUAAACAUUUUCAGACACCAUGUUUAUUGGCUGUUUAAAGUGCUUCUAAAUAUCAACCUUUUAGUUCAGCUCUGUUCUCAGUCCCAGUGGCUCCUUCUGCCCACUUGUGGGUGGAGACUGACUAGCCAGCAGAGGACAUCCAUUCAAUGGAAUGUGUAUGCUCAGCACAAACUUACUGAAGGGCAGGGAAUGGCAUAGUCCUGCCUAUGUUGCUCUGGGAGGCUCAAAUCUCCUCCUUGGUGGACAGGGAUUAAAGACAGCAUCUGACAUUGUAACUGUCAGUACCUCAGAAGUGUGAUCAGGCACUGAACUGUCAGAACAUCUUUCCCCAGAUGAGCAAUAUAACUCUUUUCACUCUCUGAUCCUUGUGACCCCCCCCCAUUUCUCUGGCUCUGAGUGUGGGAAUCAGACCACGCUUGACCUGAAUCACUGGUACUUAAAAGGCGGUAAGGCCCUUUGUUCCCUCAGCUAGGGUCUCUUAGGCACAAAAUAGACUGUAUUCCUUUGUUUAUCUGUGGGAUGGUCUCAUUUACCCUACAGAAAAAUCUUUCACCUGAAAGUUUGUCACUUAUUUUAAACCCCCAAACUGUGGCAACUUGAGUGUAUUUAUUUCUUUUCCCUCUCCUCCGAUAAAUCAUUUCUGCAGUAGGGAGGAGCAACUUGGACACUGUCACUCUGUACCUCUCCUGAUGCUUCUGUUCCUUUGGCUCCUUCCUUGUCUAUCCAUAUGAGGAAAGUUCUAAGGUUGCUUUCCCCUAUGUUACUUGUACAUGAGGCAAUCACUAGUGAAAGGCUCUUCAGAGAGAGAGACCUCCAUGAAAUCUAAUAAUCCCUCUGCAGUUACACAGAGGGCAAAUGACAUGUUCCCCUCCAGUGUCAGAUGUGAGUGGAGCAGAGGACUCUGCCUCACUCAGUGCUUAAGGAGACACCACUCACUCUGAAUUUAUAUCAGCUGUUAUCUGUAUAGGUACUGUUCUAAAGGCACAAUCAUCUAUACAGAAGCCUCUUUCUGAAUAAAGACUUCAAUUCAGUGA
Molecule: RNA transcript, 4215 nt
Organism: Caretta caretta (loggerhead turtle)
Lineage: Eukaryota; Metazoa; Chordata; Testudines; Cheloniidae
Gene: STX3
Gene name: syntaxin 3
Source: RefSeq, a predicted model, not a curated record